GGGGCUCAAAAUCACAACGUGAUAGCAAGUCAAAGUCAUCCUCUCAAACUAUCAGCUCAAGGUCAAACUCAGACGCAAAAGCAACGUAACACGCUCUGAAAGUAUCAGCUCAAAUGACGACUCUGAAAACAAAGACACAAUCAAUCAUCGGUAACAAAACAGCGUAAAGUCCAAGCAUGUAAGUUUUGGUGCAUUUUCAAGUCAGAGCAGCGAAGAUGAUGCGGAAUCAGACGGUGAACGUGAAAUUGGUUUAAAUCACUCAAGACAUGUGCAAUUACUUCAUGAAAUAAUACCUCAAAAAUUUAAAUCUUGAUAUUCAUUAAGGUACAUGGACUUAAGUCACCAUGGCACCUCUGUACAUCUCAGUUUUCCAGUAUAAGAGUACACUGAGCUCUUUCAAAUUAUAACUAUGGACAAUCAAUCCUGUCUGGCAAGCAGCUAUCUAAUUUAUUUCUUUUACAGAACAAAAAGGGGGAACAACAUUGAAAUCAAUCUUUCUGCACCUAAAAUUAGACUUAUCUUUCAUCCCAAAUAUUUUUAAAUCAUUUACGGGAAAUAUUAAAGCUAUUUUCCAGUAAAACUUUAGCCGACAUCUAUUCAACCUAAAAACAAAAGGGUUACGUUCGUUCAAACAGCUAAAAUCAGGUCACUUUGCCCCUAUCAAAGAAGGGUUUAAGUUUCUGAAAAUAUCAUCUCCUUAACCAACCAGAAAUACACUCACUUAAAUUGAGAUUAAACAUCAUACCAAAUGCCUUCUUUUCUAGGAGGAGAAUACUAAAUUUGCAGUGAAAAACUAAUUAUACCCUCGAGCAUACCUCCUAAGAAACGUUAUUGCAUCCGCUGACAAAAUAGCAUAGCAUAUGGAGGAGGAGAAAAAGAUAUUUCGCUGCCACUUCUGCUUCAGUAGAACGUCCGCAGAAGUACUAAUAGUAGUAGAAGUUAAUACUAUACAAUUGAUAUUAGUAGGGGAACAUUGAGGUGGGAUAUGUCGUUGCUUCGCAUUACCUCGUUGAUCAGCUGCUAGAGGAAUUCUCACAACAAGUGGUGGUUCCAAAAAGUCAGAGCCCAGAGGUAGAGGCAAUCUUCUCGAGUAUGUCAGCUACGCAUUGGCCUCUCCGUAUGAAAGAAAGAAAUAUGAAUGAUUUGCAGAAAUUUUUCCACACCUUAUUCAUUUCCUUUG
This 1180-nucleotide long non-coding RNA is filed under the name Capsicum annuum. RNAcentral's name for it is "long non-coding RNA (CANN_LNC019322)". Lineage: Eukaryota; Viridiplantae; Streptophyta; Magnoliopsida; Solanales; Solanaceae. The record is from RNAcentral.